GCCGGGAUAGCUCAGCUGGGAGAGCAGUAGACUGAAGGGUGCUCUUCCGAGCCUUCGUGUUCUAAAGGUCCUGUGUUCAAUCCACGGUCCUGGCA
Non-coding RNA from Abortiporus biennis, 95 nucleotides. NCBI's taxonomy places the organism in Eukaryota, Fungi, Basidiomycota, Agaricomycetes, Polyporales, Podoscyphaceae. The record is from the annotation of a GenBank genome assembly.